Molecule: small nuclear RNA, 165 nt
Organism: Homo sapiens (human)
Lineage: Eukaryota; Metazoa; Chordata; Mammalia; Primates; Hominidae
Gene: RNVU1-15
Product: RNA, variant U1 small nuclear 15
Source: Ensembl
AUACUUACUUGGCGGGGGAGAUACCAUGAUCACGAAGGUGGUUUUCUCAGGGCGAGGCUUAUCCGUUAUGUUCCGGGUGUACUGACCCCUGCCAUUUUCCCCCAAUGUGAGGAACUCGACUGCAUAACUUGUGAUAGUAGGGGACUGCGUUCGCGCUUUCCCCUG